UACGGAGGGUGCAAGCGUUAUCCGGAUUCACUGGGUUUAAAGGGUGCGUAGGCGGGCAGUUAAGUCAGUGGUGAAAUCCUUGAGCUCAACUCGAGAACUGCCAUUGAUACUAUCUGUCUUGAAUAUUGUGGAGGUAAGCGGAAUAUGUCAUGUAGCGGUGAAAUGCUUAGAUAUGACAUAGAACACCUAUUGCGAAGGCAGCUUACUACGCAUAUAUUGACGCUGAGGCACGAGAGCGUGGGGAUCAAACAGG
RNAcentral lists this ribosomal RNA (253 nucleotides) under uncultured bacterium. Its description in RNAcentral is "partial 16S ribosomal RNA". It matches the Rfam family "Bacterial small subunit ribosomal RNA", at positions 524 to 776 of the family's 1533-position model. The record is from RNAcentral.